CAGUCGCCGCGGGAACACGGAGGGUGCAAGCGUUAAUCGGAAUUACUGGGCGUAAAGCGUGCGUAGGCGGUUCGUUAAGUCUGUUGUGAAAGCCCCGGGCUCAACCUGGGAAUGGCAAUGGAUACCGGCGAGCUAGAGUGUGUCAGAGGAUGGUGGAAUUCCCGGUGUAGCGGUGAAAUGCGUAGAGAUCGGGAGGAACAUCAGUGGCGAAGGCGGCCAUCUGGGACAACACUGACGCUGAGGCACGAAAGCGUGGGGAGCAAACAGGAUUAGAUACCCGCGUAGUCCCUGUCUCUUAUAA
RNAcentral lists this ribosomal RNA (301 nucleotides) under uncultured bacterium. RNAcentral's name for it is "partial 16S ribosomal RNA". It matches the Rfam family "Bacterial small subunit ribosomal RNA", at positions 509 to 809 of the family's 1533-position model. The record is from RNAcentral.